RNAcentral lists this ribosomal RNA (454 nucleotides) under uncultured bacterium. RNAcentral describes it as "bacterial SSU rRNA". It matches the Rfam family "Bacterial small subunit ribosomal RNA", at positions 340 to 784 of the family's 1533-position model. The record is from RNAcentral.
UACGGAAGGCAGCAGUGGGGAAUAUUGCACAAUGGGCGAAAGCCUGAUGCAGCUAUGCCGCGUGUAUGAAGAAGGCCUUAGGGUUGUAAAGUACUUUCAUCGGGGAGGAAAAAACAAAACUAAUAAUUUUAUUUCUUGACGUUACCCGAAAAAGAAGCACCGGCUAACUCCGUGCCAGCAGCCGCGGUAAUACGGAGGGUGCUAGCGUUAAUCAGAAUUACUGGGCGUAAAGAGCACGUAGGUGGUUUUUUUAAGUCAGAUGUGAAAUCCCUGGGCUUAACCUAGGAACUGCAUUUUGAAACUGAAAUACUAGAGUAUCGUAGAGGGAGGUAGAAUUCUAGGUGUAGCGGUGAAAUGCGUAGAUAUCUGGAGGAAUACCUGUGGCGAAAGCGGCCUCCUAAACGAAUACUGACACUGAGGUGCGAAAGCGUGGGGAGCAAACAGGGAUUAGACC